Molecule: ribosomal RNA, 498 nt
Filed under: uncultured bacterium
Lineage: Bacteria
Description: partial 16S ribosomal RNA
Rfam family: Bacterial small subunit ribosomal RNA
Source: RNAcentral
ACGCACGCUGGCGGCGUGCUUCACCCAUGCAAGUCGCACGGGCCCGCUCUCUUUUUUGGGGGUGGGUUGAGUGGCGAACGGGUGAGUAUCACGUGAGUAACCUGCCCCCUGCUCCUGGAUAACUGCUUGAAAGGGCGGCUAAUACGGGGUGUGCCGGCUGGUCCGCAUGGGCCUGGUCGGGAUAGUUUCAUCUUCGGGUGUUUCGGUGGGGGAUGGGCUCGCGGCCUAUCAGCUUGUUGGUGGGGUGAUGGCCCACCAAGGCGGUGACGGGUAGCCGGCCUGAGAGGGUGGGCGGCCACACUGGGACUGGGACACGGCCCAGACUCCUGCGGGAGGCAGCAGUGGGGGGUAUUGCACAAUGGACGGAAGCCUGAUGCAGCGACGUCGCGUGAGGGAUGGAGGCCGUCGGGUUGUGAACCUCUUUCUCCGGUGGUGAAGGCCCUGUCCGUUGCGGCGGGGUUGACGGUAGCCGGGGAUGAAGCGCCGGCUAACUACGUG